AGAGUUUGAUCAUGGCUCAGAUUGAACGCUGGCGGCAGGCCUAACACACGCAAGUCGAGCGGUAGAGAAGUGCUUGCACUUCUUGAGAGCGGCGGACGGGUGAGUAAUGCCUAGGAAUCUGCCUAGUGGUGGGGGAUAACGUUCGGAAACGGACGCUAAUACCGCAUACGUCCUACGGGAGAAAGCGGGGGACCUUCGGGCCUCGCGCCAUUAGAUGAGCCUAGGUCGGAUUAGCUAGUUGGUGAGGUAAAGGCUCACCAAGGCGACGAUCCGUAACUGGUCUGAGAGGAUGAUCAGUCACACUGGAACUGAGACACGGUCCAGACUCCUACGGGAGGCAGCAGUGGGGAAUAUUGGACAAUGGGCGAAAGCCUGAUCCAGCCAUGCCGCGUGUGUGAAGAAGGUCUUCGGAUUGUAAAGCACUUUAAGUUGGGAGGAAGGGCAGUAACUUAAUACGUUGCUGUUUUGACGUUACCGGCAGAAUAAGCACCGGCUAACUCUGUGCCAGCAGCCGCGGUAAUACAGAGGGUGCAAGCGUUAAUCGGAAUUACUGGGCGUAAAGCGCGCGUAGGUGGUUUGUUAAGUUGGAUGUGAAAGCCCCGGGCUCAACCUGGGAACUGCAUCCAAAACUGGCAAGCUAGAGUACAGUAGAGGGUGGUGGAAUUUCCUGUGUAGCGGUGAAAUGCGUAGAUAUAGGAAGGAACACCAGUGGCGAAGGCGACCACCUGGACUGAUACUGACACUGAGGUGCGAAAGCGUGGGAGCAAACAGGAUUAGAUACCCUGGUAGUCCACGCCGUAAACGAUGUCAACUAGCCGCUGGGGUUCCUUGAGGACUUAGUGGCGCAGCUAACGCAUUAAGUUGACCGCCUGGGGAGUACGGCCGCAAGGUUAAAACUCAAAUGAAUUGACGGGGGCCCCGCACAAGCGGGUGGGAGCAUGGUGGUUUUAAUUUCGAAGCAACGGCGAGAC
RNAcentral lists this ribosomal RNA (971 nucleotides) under uncultured Pseudomonas sp. RNAcentral's name for it is "bacterial SSU rRNA". It matches the Rfam family "Bacterial small subunit ribosomal RNA", at positions 8 to 967 of the family's 1533-position model. The record is from RNAcentral. Lineage: Bacteria; Pseudomonadati; Pseudomonadota; Gammaproteobacteria; Pseudomonadales; Pseudomonadaceae.